AGACGGCUGCUCCGUUCAUCAAAAUCUUGUUUGCAGCUGAUGUUCUAGUUUAAUGGCUCUGAAAGACACGAGAAAACACCCUUCGGCGCAGGACAGUUCUGAAAAACAUUCAUUAGGGAAUGAGCGUUUUAACACCCCUGCCAUCUGUGAGGUAAACCUGGUUGACAAGGGUACCUUUGGAUAAGGACUUGUGAGCACCCUGUACACAGAGUCACAGAGCUUCAACGGGGAUGCACCACACCACAGAGCAGGGGCUACAUCUCCUGCCUUAUUUCAGAGUCUCGCUUUAAACCCUUUCAGCCUGCACGCAUCUUCCCUCAGUUAUAAAAACGUAACAAAGCAGGCAAGCGAGCUGCCAAGUUUCGUCGAGGUAAAUGAUAUAUUAAAAAGCUCACCAGCCACUUGUUUCAACAUCUGGUCACUUCGCGCCGAGCUGUCAUCGUAGUGUUCGAAAAGUGAGAACGCGGCAGGCAUGUUCUCUAAGGAAGCUGUGCUCUCCAUGGCAGACAGCAGCCUGACAAGGGAACAGAACGCUACUCAGUCGGGCAAGCAUGAA
Molecule: long non-coding RNA, 556 nt
Filed under: Mus musculus (house mouse)
Lineage: Eukaryota; Metazoa; Chordata; Mammalia; Rodentia; Muridae
Description: predicted gene 4814
Source: RNAcentral